AUACCUUUGUCGGCCUUUUGGCUAAGAUAAGGUGUAAUAUUUGUUCUUAUUAGUUUAAUAUAUGAUAUGUGGACCAUAUCUUCACUCUGAUAUUAAAUUUUUUGGGUAUCAAAUAUGGUUGUAUACCGUCCCAACGCAU
RNAcentral lists this small nuclear RNA (139 nucleotides) under Zea mays. Its description in RNAcentral is "U2 spliceosomal RNA". It matches the Rfam family "U2 spliceosomal RNA". From Rfam's summary of the family: U2 is a small nuclear RNA (snRNA) component of the spliceosome (involved in pre-mRNA splicing). Complementary binding between U2 snRNA (in an area lying towards the 5' end but 3' to hairpin I) and the branchpoint sequence (BPS) of the intron results the bulging out of an unpaired adenosine, on the BPS, which initiates a nucleophilic attack at the intronic 5' splice site, thus starting the first of two transesterification reactions that mediate splicing. The record is from Rfam by way of RNAcentral. Lineage: Eukaryota; Viridiplantae; Streptophyta; Magnoliopsida; Poales; Poaceae.